AGCCUGGAUUUGAACACAUUGCUUCUUUAUGUCUUUAAGGUAUUGAAGGAUUUUUUUUAUUUUUUAUUUAUUUGUUUUUCUGAGAUGGAGUCUCACUCUGUCACCCAUCACCUAGGCUGGAGUGGCACAAACUCGGCUCACUGCAACCUCUACCUCUCAGGUUCAAGCGAUUCUCAUGCCUCAGCCUCCUGAGUAGGGAUUACAGACAUGCAUCACCAUGCCUGGCUAAUUUUUAUAUUUUUGGUAGAGACGGGGUUUCACCAUGUUGGUCAGGCUAGUCUCGAACUCCUGACCCCGUGAACCACCCGCCUUGGCCUCCCAAAGUCCUGGGAUUACAGGCGUGAGCCACCGCGCCCAGCCAGUAUUGAAGGAUUUUAGGAAAGGCUUUGACCAAAUGUUUAUGUGCACAUCAUAAGACAUAAGCAUGAUCUACUUAAAGCUAUUUCAAUUUCCUCAUUCAUUUUUCUAGACUAGUUAUAGAGACUGGCACCUGUAUAUUCACUUAUUUGUAUGACCAAAUUAUCGUCAAUAUGCUUCUCUGUAUAAUUUUUUCUUUCAUUCCAAUUGUCUCAUCUCUUUAUUUGGUAUUGGGAAACAAAUGAAUUGAACAUAUUCUAGUUUUCCUUUUAUUUACUUUUAAAGUAAAUAAAAUUUUAAUUUUCCUUUUAUUUACUUUUAAAGUAAUAGCAUUUUGACAUUUCCAUUUCCUAGUGUGCCCUCCUGGAUUUUAUGGCUUGAAUUAUGCUCACAUCUAUGACUGCAAAAAAUGGAGCUAGUUGUGAUGCAGCAAGGGAACAGUGCAUUUGCCCAGCAGGUGUCCACAGCAGCCGAUGUGAAAAAGUGUUCACCUGGCAUGUUUGGAGAUGAUUGCCAUCAACUUUGUGACUGUGAAGGAGAAAACUUCUGCCACCCAAAAACUGAAAAAUGCCUCUGCCCCCCUGGGAGAACUGAGUCCGAUGUGAUGCUGGUAAGACCCAAAGCACCUAAGGACUCCCCCCUGACCCAUGGUUAUAAGAUAUCUGUAGACAUUUUCCUACUAGAAGUGGAAAGAGCAUUGCCCAGAAUUGCUUGAGACUUUGCCCUUAGUAUGAUGAGCAGGAUUUGUAACUGUUACAUCACAGGCAGCUCAAACAACACUAUAGCUGUCGGAGGACACAUGGUAACAUGGUAAGUAUUUAAAGGGACACAGUUAAAUGCCCCAUCACAAAGGCGAUUCAUAGAAAUCACUAGAAUUAGGGCAAUUAAGGUGUGGUCCCUCCAGAUGGUAUUCUUUGGACCUAAGCUUCAGGCUACUCUUUGGGAAUUGAAAUGUAUAUUUCAUUUUUCUUUUGACUCAGAGAGAGAAUGACCUAAAAUAUAAAGUUCUAAUUCUUCAGGGACUGUCUUAAGAAGAAGAGAAAGUAGAUUGAGUAAUUUUGAACUAAUCACUUGCUACUAGAUUUAAUGGAUGAUUAUCAGAUGAAAAGUUUUAUAUAAUUCACAAUAGACCUGAAGGACUGACCCUGCCACAGAUAUUUCCCAAAAUAGAGGGUUUAAUCUCAGAAUUUACUUUUCUCAUCUGCAAAAGAGAAGGGUUGAAGCUUCAUUUCUAAAAGAAGGGUUAUUUCUAAAUAAAGUCAUGGCCUACACAGAUGUCCUACAGGGUCUUUUAUUUUCAUUUUUAUUUUCAAUUAAGCACAGUUCAUCUGUGAUAUUAAGUGUGAACAGCUGUGUCUAUGCAGGCACCAUAAAGAUAAAAGACCUCAUUUUAACCUGAACUCUGGUAAAGGAGCUAUUAAACACCCAUAAUAUUAAUUCAUAAAAGAAUAUAACAACUUUUUAUUGGAUUAUUUUUCCCCCAUUGGUAAAUUAACAUUUGCAGACAUUCAGACAGAUGUCUUAAAUAUACAUCAUUAUUAACAUGAAAAUGUGGUAUUUUUAUAAAUUAAAAUCAGAUUCUGGAGUGCUCAGGAGAGAGCCUGACUCACAACUUUUUCUAGUAAGAACACUCAAUCUUGCCACCAAACUAAGUAAUCCUCCCACACACUGGGCAGAAGUAUCUGGGUUGAACUUCAUUUAAAAUGAUACAGGAUUUUUUUAAUUUUUCACAAAGUUUCAUGGUUUAAAGAUUUAGAGCAGCAUUUCCAUUGCCUCCAAAGCUUCUUCCUAAAGGAACCUGUUUCUGCUUCAUUUAGGAAGGGAUUGAAUUACUGUUUGCUGAUGUUGAACCCUUGUGAAAAUAAUUAAUUGCAAAAUUGGUUUAUGUUUCUAUUUACCUUAUAUUUCUAAUCCAAUUAGUUAAUUAAGGCAAGAGAGCUAGGCCACAUCUUAACCUACGUUCAUAAUGCAAAAGAAUAAAAAAAUUACAUCCAGCUGCUCAUCUCUAACCCAGCACAAAGGAUAGUGAGUCAAUAAAGAAGUUUUAAACAAAAUUUGCCCAAAAUUUCAGAAUUUGCCCCAGGGACUAUAUCUUCAUAUUUACUGACAUUUCCCAAAUUCUCACUUUCCUGCUUUUUACUUUUUUAUUAGGGCUUUCUUCUGCAUAUGCUUCACACCUUGUAUCCACUCAUAUAGUAGUGUAAAAUGGGGAAAGAGCACUAGGUAGGAAUUCUAAAACCCAGCUCUGCUGUUUAUCAGAGAUAUAUUGUAGUAAUUGAGAUAUUUUAAGCCAUACCAAACCUCAGUUUAUUUCUCUGUAGAAUGUGAGAGCUUAACUCACUGCCUUGCCCACCUCACAGGUAUUAGAACCAACAGAGAUAAUGUAUUAGAGACACACUUUGUAAACUCCACAAGGAUAGGUGACUAUUAGGAUUGAACAGUUGAGUUUCUCUGAUCCUUGAACAUUGAUAAACUGAGUUUCUUCCCAGUCCUGCCUGACUGAGUGGGAAAUAUGAAUCUAUUUUCUGUUUCCAUGAGCUGGGCAGGGCUUUCUCCUUAUCCUCGUAAUUCUUCAGAAACAGAACUUGUUAAUUCUCUGAUGGAAAUUAGGCUAAGAGCAAACACCCAGGCUCGGCCUUUUUGGUCAACAUUUGGUUGUUUUAAUAAAGCUAACACUUUCUAUAAUCUUCCAUCAUUUCUCUUUCAGUUGCAAGCACAAUGCAAUUCAAUUUAAAGAUAGUUAGAGUCCUGUAGGACAUAGAUCAGGGGAUCUAUGGACCUUCUGACAUAUUUUAAGAAAUGAAACAGUUGAAAUUAAAGCCAUUUUAUUUUCAAUAACAUAAGUACAAAUAAUUGUGUUUUCAUCCUAAAGGUAAGUCUCCUGUAUUGGGCAUUCAGCGUGAGUGUUGCCUUUCUCUGACCUCAAGACAACUAGCCAACUUUCCCUGUGUCCUUCACAAUGCAACCACUAAAGCUCUACUGAAUACUCUGAUUCUGAGAAGGCACCUUAAAAAUGUAAGUAGCUGUCCUGACUUCUCUUUUCAGUGUUACCACUAAUUUCCUUGACACUCCCAGCCUUCUCCUGUUUUCCAUCGGCGUUCUUACUUUUAUCACAUAGCAUUCUAGCAUGGGAAGAUACUCCAUGGUAAAAAAGAAUACUUUACAAACGUAUAAUUAUCUUAUUGAAUGCCAAGAAGUAAUAGUAAGAACACAGUGUGUUUUUGAAAGCAUAUCUGAAUUGCUUUUAUUUUUAUUUUCUCCCUCAUAGAAUGCAGGCCGGGCCUGUAUGGACCAAACUGUGCUCUCAAGUGUCAGUGUGGUCACGUAGCUCACUGCAGCCCUCUCAGUGGGAGCUGCACUUGCGUUUUUAAGACAAUGGAUCCAACCUAUGAGGAAAGUGGUUCAGAUGAUCCUCAAUAUCCAAAUACUAACAACUUUUCAGUUGGUGAAUAGAAUUUUGCAGACUUUCAUCCAUGGUUUAUUAUUUUAACUUUAACAGAGAAAUGUACUUACUCAGCCAUCUUCAGCCCAUCCCGACCUGUUGUGGGGUAAAUACCAGGAUGUCUCAACUUUGUCAUCUCCAAGCACAAGUCUCAGUCUCUAGCCUAGCCUUCCCAACGGUUUUUUGCUGAAUAAUAUACCCAAUAAUAAGAGAAUGUUAUUUCAGGAUCCCAAUCAUAGUAAUGUUUGGGCUAAUAAGUGGACCUUUUUUAUAUGCACAGGAGGUAUUUAAAUUUGG
Molecule: long non-coding RNA, 4096 nt
Filed under: Papio anubis (olive baboon)
Lineage: Eukaryota; Metazoa; Chordata; Mammalia; Primates; Cercopithecidae
Description: lncRNA (ENSPANG00000046720.1)
Source: RNAcentral